UUCCGGUUGAUCCUGCCGGACCUGACUGCUAUCGGAUUGAUACUAAGCCAUGCGAGUCUUUGCAGUAAUGCAAGGCAUACGGCUCAGUAACACGUAGUCAACUUACCCUAUGGACGAGGAUAAUCUCGGGAAACUGAGCAUAAUACUCGAUAGAUCAUAAUGCCUGGAAUGGUUUAUGGUUAAAAUGAUUCGUCGCCAUAGGAUGGGACUGCGGCCUAUCAGCUUGUUGGUGAGGUAAUGGCCCACCAAGGCGAUUACAGGUACGGGCUCUGAGAGGAGAAGCCCGGAGAUGGGUACUGAGACAAGGACCCAGGCCCUAUGGGGCGCAGCAGGCGAGAAAACUUUGCAAUGUGCGAAAGCACGACAAGGUUAAUCCGAGUGAUUUCUGCUAAAGAAAUCUUUUGCAAGUCAUAAAACCACUAGUGAAUAAGGGGUGGGCAAGUUCUGGUGUCAGCCGCCGCGGUAAAACCAGCACCUCAAGUGGUCAGGAGGAUUAUUGGGCCUAAAGCAUCCGUAGCCGGCUCUGUAAGUUUUCGGUUAAAUCCAUGUGCUCAACGCAUGGGCUGCCGAAAAUACUGCAUAGCUAGGGAGUGGGAGAGGUAGACGGUACUCGGUAGGAAGGGGUAAAAUCCUUUGAUCUAUCGAUGACCACCUGUGGCGAAGGCGGUCUACCAGAACACGUUCGACGGUGAGGGAUGAAAGCUGGGGGAGCAAACCGGAUUAGAUACCCGGGUAGUCCCAGCUGUAAACGAUGCAGACUCGAUGAUGCAUUGGCAUAUAGCCAGUGCAGUGUCGCAGGGAAGCCGUUAAGUCUGCCGCCUGGGAAGUACGUACGCAAGUAUGAAACUUAAAGGAAUUGGCGGGGGAGCACCACAAGGGGUGAAGCCUGCGGUUCAAUUGGAGUCAACGCCGG
RNAcentral lists this ribosomal RNA (913 nucleotides) under uncultured marine archaeon. RNAcentral's name for it is "bacterial SSU rRNA". It matches the Rfam family "Archaeal small subunit ribosomal RNA", at positions 1 to 921 of the family's 1478-position model. The record is from RNAcentral.